ACGCGAAAUCAUGUGGCAAAAGAUCCCGGUAUUACAUGUACCAAAAAAAUUCGUAUUAGUGUGACAAAAGAUUAAUCGACACCUCGAUUACCGCCAACUAUAGAGGAGUUUAUCUUUCCGCGUCUACGAUUAUUGUAUGCCACAACUUGAACAACUAACUUGCGCGAAACGUGAUUGCAGAGAGACCAAGACACCAUUCCGUGUUAUCACAUGUUCUCUUAUACAUAUCCAACCACGUCCACUGUACCGAGCAGCCAGCUGUUAUCACUCGUCCUGCUCGUUAAUCCGGUUACUGGUAACCAACGGGGUUUGUCCCGUACCUUGUCCGAUCAGACCCUAAGCUCGGUAUAAUUCUAAGGCGUGACGCCUCGGAGGAAAACGUCAAUCUCUUCAUCCGGGAUUCAACGAAUGGUUAUCAAUUCAUAUCAAUUUUCCGACGAUUCUUGGUCCGUGAAAUCUCGCGUCUGUUUAUCAUUCUACCGCAUGGAAAUCGCGACUCAACGGGACGACGUAUCCUCGAUAAACAAGUUUCCGUCACAGAUGGAUCACCCUGUACGACACGUGUGUCACACCGCGAUUCUACAAAGGGUCCUCCGUUAUCCAGCUACACGAUCGCGAGUGUCAGUCACGAUUCCCGACGAGGUUCAAUGGGAUUAAUCACCGAUGGGAGUUCCCGCGAGUCGCACAGUCGGGGACCUCGGAUUGCACAACAAACCCGAUGCGUGCACUCCCACUGGAAACACGCUUUCCUUGUGCAACACCGAGCCACAUGCAUGCAUCUCAAUUGCGAAAUGCAUCGCGUCUCGGCCGACGCGUUUAAUUCUUUGGCGAACCACGGAUUUUGACCCAUUUCGAAUAUGCGGACAACGAUCCUUACGGUGGCUACGGGAGGUCAAGAGAGGCGUCGAGCCUUGAAGCCAAUGCCUUGAGCCGCGAAUGGAAGAUUGGACUUAUCGAAGUGUGGCGGGGUGGAACGUGGUACACGCGUCUUAUCACUCUUUCAGUGAUCGUAAAAAUUGUAUAUUACAACCACUUGUACCGCACGUGUUUACAUUUCGUGGAUUCGUAAAACGCUUCGCGGUUGGUGUUGCAGACGUUCGAUACAGGUAAGUUCCUACAGUCAGGAAUGGAAUAUUGCCCAAAAACAGGACAGUACCAAUGUCUACGAAGUAAGGAUAUUUGACUAAAAUGUCUUUGGAUAUCGUUCCUUCGAUGGUACCGGUGCAAUCCCUCAAAACUACCAAAGGAUCUGGUCGACUAAAGUCAACCCGUUGUACCACCCCUGCUAGAAAUGAUGGUCAUCAAUGACUCCGAAUUGCAGAGGGAAUGCCGACAGUUGGCUCAGCAGAAAGUCGUAUUCGAUGCUGCAGAAUAUCAGCGGAAUGCUCGACGUGAUAACCGGUUGAAUUCGCAGGAGAUAAGUUUGCACGAAACGGUUGAAUUCCACGCGAACUACAAGAUAUGUCGAACGGUGUUUGGUAACUGGACUGAGGGUUAAACCCUCCAAAGAUCAUCCGACUGCAGAGACGAAGAAGUCGCUUCGGAAAUAUCUGCUUUUCUUUUGUAGGUAAAAUAAAGCAAAGGAAUUUUGGCAGUUAUCGAAUUUCGUGCGGGUCGUAGGUACAUGCAGACAAACAACGCCACUUGGUUGAUGGUAAGGCAGAUGUCACGCGUCGAAGGUAGAAGAUAUCGGCGUUGCCGGAACAACAAUCUCGAGACUUACAACGACGAUGGGAAAUCUUUGUCAUUUAUAAAUUUUACAGCGAUAUUUCUUUUCUGCACCGUCUACUGUCAUAUUUCAGUCCAAAAAUUUGAUCUUGUCGUAGCGAUAACAGCACGAUAAUUCUGGUAUUUCGCAGAGAUCCGUGUGAAAUAUACGCUUGGUUCGAUUGCUUGCGUGGCGCUGUAAGGUAAUUAUUUACUCAACCUCUCUCUGGAGUAAUGGAUCGGUCUAGAAGGUUCGGAAUUUUUCAUUCGUGGACGAUCCUUCAUUUCCAUGGGUCGGAAUAACAAAAUUUCAUCUCUCGUUGUUGAUAAAAAAUUAAACCCUCCGUUCACCUUUUCGGGAACAGAAUUCACCUUCAAGCAUAUGGACCUUCGACUCGGUAUCAGCUAGGCUGCGAUGAUUUAUUAUUAUAAUUGUUUGUGUCAUGACAGUGAUUGUGAUUUCGUUUCUCGUCUUUGGACAAAGACGAAAAACAAAAGUGAAUCAACGGAUUUCUCAUCCCGAUUUAAACUUUCCCUUCGAAUGCGUCGAAUGAUUAGGUAAUUGAUGUUAAUCAGUCUAGAUAAAGCGCCAGUAUAACCGCAAGCUUGUUUGCUUUCGGUACAAGUAUUUUAAAUUUGUAAUUAUACUGUCUCAGCGGCCGAUUACAAAUUAAGAUAUUAUCAAAGUUGUGGGAAACAUUCUGGCCGGAUGAUUUUGCCCAAAGAUUUAGCUAGUUUUCCAAAAGUUUUUAGUGCCCAUCACCGAGCCCGCGGACUGGUUAGAAAUCCUUAUGCUAACUAUCGGAAUACUAAUGGGUGAUUAUAAUUGUUAAUUCGUUAAAUGAUCCGCCGUAGAGUCCUUGAUAUUAUUCGUCUUCCAGCGCCGUGCUCCGUUUCCUCCGCAAAAUCGAGUAAACUCCUGCAAGACUUGAAUGAAGUAGUGCGCAAGUCUGGAUGAUAUUUCAUCCUCGCCAGAUCCUAUUUUAUUCAUUUCCAUACAUCACAAACCAUCCCCCAAAGGUUAUUGCGGAGAGAUAGACGGAUUUAACUGCGUUUCACUUCUUCACGCACGUAGGCGUAACCGGUUCUAAAGUUCAGUGUUCACCACUGCACACGAUUUACUUGUGUGCAAAGGGUGUCCCUCUUUAAAUUGGAUAGUCAAAUAUCUCCGAAACUGUGGUAUUAAGGAUGCUGAUAACUCAAAUGUCGAUACUAUUAUUUAACAAUUUCACUACGAGAUAGGUGGGAUAUUCGUUAACUACGAAGAUCUCUUGAGUAGGUAACACAAAGAUAAGAAAUACAUAAUGGUAUUAUAAAUAAGAGCUUAGAUGUACGUGAUGUUGUAAAAUUAAAUAUUUAACUACGAUACCGUGAAUAAAAAAAAAGUGUUUCAGUUGCAGAAAACUUAUAGUAAAAUCGAACGAAUCGACUAGAGUAUUAAAAAUUUUUGAAGCAAUUUUAAACGUAGAAUGGAUAUGGAAGCUUUCGUUUACGAUGCUCCUCUCAGAUUCACCCACUGAUUUAUUGAAUUAAGUAAUUAUAAGCAUAAUAUUUUUAUACAUAAAAGU
Neodiprion fabricii is the source of this 3275-nucleotide long non-coding RNA. RefSeq lists it as uncharacterized. The transcript has 3 exons. NCBI's taxonomy places the organism in Eukaryota, Metazoa, Arthropoda, Insecta, Hymenoptera, Diprionidae. The record is from RefSeq and is a predicted model, not a curated record.